GGGCAAUAGGUCCCCCCUUCAGGUUAGAAGCCCACACUCGUGCGGCACGGGUGGGUGCUUGGGAGGGGGGGAGGUUUUGUUUUGGUUUUUUUUUAACCGUGAGCAGCCAUAGGCACUUCGACACGCUGGAAUUUCAGUAAUUUCGGAACUUUGGGACUUCGGCAAUUCAUCUAUUCGGACAUUCGGAAGUACCCGAAUGUCCGAAUAGACUGAAAUUUGUCUGAAUUCACAUUCGGACCGAAACAAAUUGCACAUGUCUACUAGCAGACACAGGAGACGAGAUAAGGAGGAGGACCUUCUCUGCCUAAUGGGACAUCCGGCAUCCGACUCUGAGGAUACUGCUGGAUUUUAUGCCAGAUUAUAUCUUUGGAAAAUGGACAUAUAUAUUUGCACAAACACAUAUACACAUUUGCAAACAUGGAUUCAGAGACAAACAUCUACAUCUACACUCACACGUAUUUCUACAUAUGCCACAACUCAGAUACUUAUGCAAUGCUUUGUAGACAUAUAGAAUGGUCAAAUAAACAGUCAAGUAGUUCAGUUAAUUAAUUGCUGUGAAAUUAAAAUCAAAGUUGAGAAAUGUACACCAAAUAGUCUUUUUUUUUUUUUUUUUUAGCUAUGCAAAGGUGUAAAAGGACCCUGUAUUUUAAUCCAUUAAAAGAUGCAAAAUAAAUGAAUAAAGAUGCUAACCUAACCUUACAAGAUACCGAAACUACAUAGUUUAGAUAAGCCUCUAUCAGGACAUAUCCAUCAGCUGCAGUUCCACUCAUAAUACAGUGGUAUGGCUGCUAUAUAACUUAAUGGCAGCCAUUCCUUUGUUUGUUUGAGACUGCCCUGACCAUGAAUGUGUGCAGCCGCUUAC
Non-coding RNA from Pelobates cultripes (western spadefoot toad), 862 nucleotides. Lineage: Eukaryota; Metazoa; Chordata; Amphibia; Anura; Pelobatidae. The record is from the annotation of a GenBank genome assembly.